RNAcentral lists this ribosomal RNA (253 nucleotides) under uncultured bacterium. Its description in RNAcentral is "partial 16S ribosomal RNA". It matches the Rfam family "Bacterial small subunit ribosomal RNA", at positions 524 to 776 of the family's 1533-position model. The record is from RNAcentral.
UACGAACUGUGCGAACGUUAUUCGGAAUCACUGGGCUUACAGGGUGCGUAGGCGGCCUGUUAAGCAGGGUGUGAAAUGCCGGGGCUCAACCCCGGCAUGGCGCCCUGGACUGGCGGGCUCGAGGGCGCUAGGGGUGUGCGGAACUGCCGGUGGAGCGGUGAAAUGUGUUGAGAUCGGCAGGAACGCCUGUGGCGAAAGCGGCACACUGGGGCGCGCCUGACGCUGAGGCACGAAAGCCAGGGGAGCGAACGGG